CAGAGAUGCUUUGGUGGCCUUCGGGAACUCUGAGACAGGUGCUGCAUGGCUGUCGUCAGCUCGUGUUGUGAAAUGUUGGGUUAAGUCCCGCAACGAGCGCAACCCUUAUCCUUGUUGCCAGCGGCUCGGCCGGGAACUCAAAGGAGACUGCCGGUGAUAAACCGGAGGAAGGUGGGGAUGACGUCAAGUCAUCAUGGCCCUUACGGCCAGGGCUACACACGUGCUACAAUGGCGCAUACAAAGAGAAGCGACCUCGCGAGAGCAAGCGGACCUCAUAAAGUGCGUCGUAGUCCGGAUUGGAGUCUGCAACUCGACUCCAUGAAGUCGGAAUCGCUAGUAAUCGUAGAUCAGAAUGCUACGGUGAAUACGUUCCCGGGCCUUGUACACACCGCCCGUCACACCAUGGGAGUGGGUUGCAAAAGAAGUAAGUAGCUUAACCUUCGGGAGGGCGCUUACCACUUUGUGAUUCAUGACUGGGGUGAAGUCGUAACAAGGUAAGCGUAGCGAG
This 508-nucleotide ribosomal RNA is filed under the name uncultured bacterium. RNAcentral describes it as "bacterial SSU rRNA". It matches the Rfam family "Bacterial small subunit ribosomal RNA", at positions 1001 to 1509 of the family's 1533-position model. The record is from RNAcentral.